AUCGACUCCAGGACUUAUACUUUGAAAGCCUAGUACUUAUUCUAUCGCAGUGGCGUGACUAGAGUGUUUGUGAUGCCCCAGGCAGUUCUUGAGUUUGUCACCCCUCGUUCCAUCCCCGCUAACCAUUCAAGCUUCAACAACACACCCAAAAGUGUCGUCCCCAUAAAAACGUCGCCCGAAAGAGACUUCCUGCCCUCCACAUUGCGCUACCUGCAGUGAAGUCGUCCUUUUUGGAAACCGCUGGUUUCCAGUUUAAGGUUACCCUCUUCCUUCCUUCCUUCCUUCCUCCUCUCCCUUGGUCUAUGAGACCCUGUAAAGGUUCAUAGGAUUCUGCCUUUCCACUUGACUAAACGAUAAAAAGAAAUGCAACUUUUU
Long non-coding RNA from Octopus sinensis (East Asian common octopus), 375 nucleotides. RefSeq lists it as uncharacterized. The transcript has 2 exons. NCBI's taxonomy places the organism in Eukaryota, Metazoa, Mollusca, Cephalopoda, Octopoda, Octopodidae. The record is from RefSeq and is a predicted model, not a curated record.